GCAUCCGUAGCUCAGCUGGAUCGAGUACUCGGCUACGAACCGAGCGGUCGGAGGUU
RNAcentral lists this transfer RNA (56 nucleotides) under Salmonella enterica subsp. enterica serovar Typhimurium. RNAcentral's name for it is "partial tRNAarg2". Lineage: Bacteria; Pseudomonadati; Pseudomonadota; Gammaproteobacteria; Enterobacterales; Enterobacteriaceae. The record is from RNAcentral.